GGCACAAUUAAUUCUACUCUUCGUAGUCGGGAUCCCCCGCAGACAUGCGAGGGGCGCACCGACGGCCUGCCACGCUCCUCGGAGUCGAGGCGGAGCCCGAGCACACACGUUGGGACCCGAAAGAUGGUGAACUAUGCCUGGACAGGACGAAGACAGGGGAAACCCUGUUGGAAGUCCGAAGCGGUUCUGACGUGCAAAUCGAUCGUCUGAUCCGCGUAUAGGGGCGAAAGACUAAUCGAACCAUCUAGUAGCUGGUUCCCUCCGAAGUUUCCCUCAGGAUAGCUGGCGCUCGAUCGAAAUUCAGUCACGAUCGGUAAAGCGAAUGAUUAGAGGCCUUGGGGCCGAAACGACCUCCAACCUA
RNAcentral lists this ribosomal RNA (361 nucleotides) under Nephila pilipes (giant wood spider). Its description in RNAcentral is "partial 28S ribosomal RNA". It matches the Rfam family "Eukaryotic large subunit ribosomal RNA", at positions 713 to 1054 of the family's 3401-position model. The record is from RNAcentral. Lineage: Eukaryota; Metazoa; Arthropoda; Arachnida; Araneae; Nephilidae.